This 3282-nucleotide long non-coding RNA is filed under the name Triticum aestivum (bread wheat). RNAcentral's name for it is "long non-coding RNA (TAES_LNC000192)". The record is from RNAcentral. Lineage: Eukaryota; Viridiplantae; Streptophyta; Magnoliopsida; Poales; Poaceae.
UCCUCUCAGCAUAACUGUGUUGUCAAAGAUCUUUGUGUUUUUCCAUAUUUUCAAAUGUAUUAAUAUCAGUCUACUGUUAUUAGGGUACUUAUAGAUGAGCUACCUACAGUGUAAAAAAUGAUUAGUAUAGGAAGCAAGUUGCAACUGUUCUGGCAUUACACAUCAUUUAUCAAAAAUAUGUUCUCUUUUAGUCUUUCAGAUACCUUUACAGAGACUCAAAUCAUGAAUGCUACGAACGAAAAUAACAGCACGUGAUUCAAGUUAUAAACAAUAUGUUCUCUGACAUGUACCACCUGCUGUAGUAGUGUAGAUUGUAGAAAAUGAGCAGAUAGUAGUACAAUUCAGUUUCUUUCAAAAAUAUUUUGGUUUCAGACCAACAAUUCAAUUAUUUUUUGCAGAAGAAUGGCUUGUCUAAAAACACAGGGUGCUAGGAGCUUGGUGAAUAGGGGGUGCUAUAUCUAAAAUGCGGUGAAUAAAACGGAACAUGCGGUAAGAUAGGAGCUUAGUGAAUCAUUACUGUUGUAAUAAAGGAGCUACAAAAUUCUCAGAUAUAGGUCGGAAUGUUACUGUAAAAAGAUAGUAGAUUAAGGCAAGUAGAUUCAAAGAAAAUGUUUUGAUCGAACUAAAUAUAAAGCUUCUCCCAUUAGGUGGAUUGAUGAUAUUUACUUCAAUCAGAAUUAUCCGAGAGGAUUCAUCCAAAAUUCCAAAUACUACAAGAACUUGUGAUAGGGUGAUUAAUCACAUAAAGCCUAUAUGCACAUGGAAAGAAGUAUGCUCCAGACUGCAAUAUAGCAAAUUCAAUCUCCAUACUCUCAUAGAACUAAUGAUUACAUGUACUACUUUCCAGAAUAGAGUUUAGGCAUGUACGAUAACCAAUCAAGGUUCUUUAUGAAAGACACCAAUCAAGGUUCUGGAGGUGUUGGACAUCUGAUCGAAGCCUGACUACUUUGUUCUCUACGACCUGUUGAACAACGUCAGAUGGAAGAGUUUGCCUACAGAAGUCACACUUUCACGAAGUGUGUACAAAUCUAAAAGACAUAUAAGAUGUGCGAGUACAGUAGCGACAUUUAUCUAACUGACCUUUAAUUUGCCUUUGAUCAGUCCAAACCAAUGGUAUGGCAUGGUACUAGUAGUGCACUACUAAACAACCUACAAUCAAUAGAGCCAGAGAUUUUUUUUCCUAUAAAACCAAUAAAAAGUGCAGGUUUUAAGGAGAAAAAGACUUCUCUCCCAGAUAGAAAAAGAGCGGAGCUCAGUUUCCUCCUCUCCUUUCUGUGAUAAUUUUAAUUAGACCUAUAUGACCUUAAUAGCCCUUGAACACUCAUCAUUACCAUUAUGAGAAGUUCAAUCCUUAUUGUCAGUGUAUGUUCUUUAACACAAUAGCUGGGGUUAAACUAGGUGACUGUUUUUACUGAAUCAAGAACAGUAUUCUGAACGUACUUUAUUUUACUCUCACAAUCUAGGAUUUUUUUAAACAAUUGAUCAAAUACAUUGUCAAGGAGGACCUAAAAAUAAUAUGAAUGAACUUGCUCAGUAAAAUGGCAAGGAUUGCAUCUUACUGGGUAUGCUUUUCUUCUUCCAGAAUACAUCUGCACACUUGCAGGGUGCAAAACUUCACUUGUCUGAAUGGAAAAUACCUCCAGCAGAUUAUUGCACUUGAAAUGAAAAUAGCGAGAAGAGGUUUAUUCAUUGCUUCUAUGGUACGACUAGCAGCUCCUGAAACACAUAAUCAUGCAUCUUCAUUCUGAAGCACAUAAUCAUGCAUCUUCAUUCUGAAACACGUAAUCAUCCAAGGAGUAGCUGUUAGUCACACAAAUGCUAGUGUAACCUCAAGUUCAUUGGAUGUCAUUCUGAAUAAAGAGAAUAGGAGCAUGCCCAGCUAUAUCGUUCUGUCCAGUGUCUAUCAACAGAUCAAAAGUAGCAAUAAAUAGGUACUUAACCAUUCAUUACUCGACUGAAGCACAAUGUAAAAAAAAAUGAUAACCAAACCUGAAAAACUUCAGUGUACUGCAGGUGUAUGUAGUGCUUUCAUAGAGUUGACAAAGAGCUACGAAUGUACCAUGAAUUGGAAAUAGAAAACGUGAUCCUGCAUCCUAAUUUUUUUGUAGUUGCUACCAUAUCUCACUAGUGUUCUGGAUUGCACCUAGAGAAAAGUUCUGAAGCCUUCCACAGAUACCCUCAACAACUUCCGGUCAAAGUGAAAAUCCAUAAUUUUAUGACGACGAUUAAAGUUUAAGAAAAGUCACAUUUGUGUCCUUUAGCAAUAUGAGGUAACCGAAAGGUUCAAAUUUUGAUCAAUUCAAGGUAUGAUCAGCCCCAAUGGCAGUGCUUCGACUAACUGAACUAUCAACAAGGCAAUGAUAUUGUGCAUUGAGAUCACGGUUACUCGGGCUUAAAUGAUUUGUGCUUCUUAUUGGGGUGCCACCCUUCCCGGUUUCUUACUAUGCCUUCUUAUGCAGCAGAGCAGAUUCACAAUGAUUGGAUGGUCAACCUAAUACAGUAGCAACACCCCGAUUCGAUUCUAAGUUUAAAUGGCCGGACAUGGUACUUUUCAGUAGCAGGGGACAGUCCAAUUCAUUCAAAAUAGUGGAGCUCCAAGGAAAAAAGAUGGAGUUUAUUCAUAAUAAAGAAGAAACAUGGCUAUUUAUUAGAACAUGCAACAUAUGGGGACUCUAAACGGAGGAUUCAUCAGACACAAACUGCUGAAUGUAAACUAUUUAUUGAAAAUAGGAGCUUAGUAGGAGGACUGGGAGCAUUUGUAGGCUAGAUCUAAAGAGAAGCUCUUGAUUUGUCCUCAACAUCAAAUCCGGUGAAGGCCCAUACUAAAAUUUGUGCAGCCAAAUUGAAACGAGUAAACUUCAUGUAUGGAUGCAACAACCUGCGCCGAAUCUGAGAAAGGCCAAGACCUAGCACCAUAGCAGCCGCCGCAUCUGGCAAGUCAAUACGCCUAAGUUCCAUAGGGAAAGUAGAAUUCUAGAUUGGGAGAGACGGGAGGAGAAAUACAGGGGCAUAAAUCUUGGCAAUGCAUCAGAGUGUCGAGAGCUCACCGUGACGCCGUCGUAGACCGCUAUUGCCGGCGCAGAGCGGUGCAGCCCCGCAGCACUGCCUUGAGGAACCCAGAGAGUUCACCACACCGCCGAGGCCACCACUGCCACCGAGCACCACGGGAUGAAACUUCAACGCCAUCACCAACCACGGCACCGCCCAAGACCUAGGCAGCUACCCCACCCAUGGCGCCGCCGUGCGCCGCCGAUACUCCCGAUACGGUUCGCAACUCUUCUU